CCUACGGGGGGCAGCAGUGGGGAAUAUUGGGCAAUGGGCGCAAGCCUGACCCAGCAACGCCGCGUUAAGGAAGAAGGCUUUCGGGUUGUAAACUUCUUUUCUCAGGGACGAAGCAAGUGACGGUACCUGAGGAAUAAGCCACGGCUAACUACGUGCCAGCAGCCGCGGUAAGACGUAGUUGGCAAGCGUUAUCCGAAUUUACUGGGUGUAAAGGGCGUGUAGGCGGGAGUGCAAGUCAGAUGUGAAAACCACGGGCUCAACCUUUGGCCUCCAUUUGAAACUGUAGUUCUUGAGUACUGGAGAGGCAGACGGAAUGCCUAGUGUAGCGGGGAAAGGCGUAGAUAUUAGGAGGAACACCAGUGGCGAAGGCGGUCUGCUGGACAGCAACUGACGCUGAGGCGCGAAAGCGUGGGGAGCAAACAGGAUGAGAUACCCUUGUAGUC
This 443-nucleotide ribosomal RNA is filed under the name uncultured bacterium. RNAcentral describes it as "partial 16S ribosomal RNA". It matches the Rfam family "Bacterial small subunit ribosomal RNA", at positions 338 to 795 of the family's 1533-position model. The record is from RNAcentral.